GGUGAGUUGUCCGAGUGGUUUAAGGAGCACGCUUGGAAAGCGUGUGUGUGGAGUUAAAUCUGCACCGAGAGUUCAAAUCUCUCACUCACCG
Molecule: transfer RNA, 91 nt
Organism: Candidatus Photodesmus katoptron Akat1
Lineage: Bacteria; Pseudomonadati; Pseudomonadota; Gammaproteobacteria; Vibrionales; Vibrionaceae
Rfam family: tRNA
About the family: Transfer RNA (tRNA) molecules are approximately 80 nucleotides in length. Their secondary structure includes four short double-helical elements and three loops (D, anti-codon, and T loops).
Source: Rfam